ACACAGAGGGGACACGGGUGACACAGGGGACAGGGGACACACAGGGACAGGGACAGGGACAGGUGACAGGGACAGGUGACACAGGGACAGGUGACAGGAGCACAGGUGACACACAGGGGACACACAGGGACAGGGACAGGUGACACAGGGACAGGUGACAGGAACACAGGUGACACACAGGGGACACACAGGGACAGGGACAGGUGACACACAGGGGACACACAGGGACAGGUGACACUCAGGUGCCAAUGACAGGUGAUACAGGUGAUACAGGUGGCACACAGGUGACAAUGACACCCAGGUGUCACAGGUGCCAAUGACACAGAGGUGACACAGGUGACACAGGUGCCAAUGACACAGGUGCCAAUGACACAGGUGCCACAGGUGACAAUGACACAGGUGACACAGGUGACAGUGACACACAGGUGACACACGUGCCAAUGACACAGGUGACAGUGACACUGAAAGGUGACAAUGACACAGGUGCCAAUCACACAGGUGCCACAGGUGACAAUGACACAGGUGCCAAUCACACAGGUGCCACAGGUGACAAUGACACAGGUGACACAGGUGACACAGGUGACACACAGGUGGCACACAGGUGACAAUGACAGGUGAUACAGGUGGCACACAGGUGACACAGGUGACACCCAGGUGACACCCAGGUGGCACAGGUGGCACAGGUGGCACAGGUGG
Long non-coding RNA from Serinus canaria (Common canary), 696 nucleotides. RefSeq lists it as uncharacterized. The transcript is spliced from 3 exons. NCBI's taxonomy places the organism in Eukaryota, Metazoa, Chordata, Aves, Passeriformes, Fringillidae. The record is from RefSeq and is a predicted model, not a curated record.